GUGUCAGCAGCCGCGGUAAUACGGAGGGGGCUAGCGUUGUUCGGAAUUACUGGGCGUAAAGGGCGUGUAGGCGGCCUGCCAAGUCAGAUGUGAAAGCCCCGGGCUUAACCUGGGAACUGCAUUUGAGACUGGCCGGCUAGAGGUUGGAAGAGGAGAGUGGAAUUCCCAGUGUAGAGGUGAAAUUCGUAGAUAUUGGGAAGAACACCAGUGGCGAAGGCGGCUCUCUGGUCCACACCUGACGCUGAGGCGCGAAAGCGUGGGGAGCAAACAGGAUUAGAAACCCUCGUAGUCC
RNAcentral lists this ribosomal RNA (292 nucleotides) under uncultured bacterium. RNAcentral's name for it is "partial 16S ribosomal RNA". It matches the Rfam family "Bacterial small subunit ribosomal RNA", at positions 505 to 796 of the family's 1533-position model. The record is from RNAcentral.